Molecule: ribosomal RNA, 565 nt
Filed under: uncultured bacterium
Lineage: Bacteria
Description: partial 16S ribosomal RNA
Rfam family: Bacterial small subunit ribosomal RNA
Source: RNAcentral
UGGGGAAUUUUGGACAAUGGGCGAAAGCCUGAUCCAGCAAUGCCGCGUGUGUGAAGAAGGCCUUCGGGUUGUAAAGCACUUUUGUCCGGAAAGAAAUCCUUGGCUCUAAUACAGUCGGGGGAUGACGGUACCGGAAGAAUAAGCACCGGCUAACUACGUGCCAGCAGCCGCGGUAAUACGUAGGGUGCAAGCGUUAAUCGGAAUUACUGGGCGUAAAGCGUGCGCAGGCGGUUUGCUAAGACCGAUGUGAAAUCCCCGGGCUCAACCUGGGAACUGCAUUGGUGACUGGCAGGCUAGAGUAUGGCAGAGGGGGGUAGAAUUCCACGUGUAGCAGUGAAAUGCGUAGAGAUGUGGAGGAAUACCGAUGGCGAAGGCAGCCCCCUGGGCCAAGUACUGACGCUCAUGCACGAAAGCGUGGGGAGCAAACNGGAUUAGAUACCCUGGUAGUCCACGCCCUAAANGAUGUCAACUAGUUGUUGGGGAUUCAUUUUCCUAGUAACGUAGCUAACGCGUGAAGUUGACCGCCUGGGGAGUACGGUCGCAAGAUUAAAACUUAAAGAAUUGA